Molecule: ribosomal RNA, 2477 nt
Filed under: Staphylococcus aureus
Lineage: Bacteria; Bacillati; Bacillota; Bacilli; Caryophanales; Staphylococcaceae
Also listed under: 1 other name
Description: partial 23S ribosomal RNA
Rfam family: Bacterial large subunit ribosomal RNA
Source: RNAcentral
AAUCUGGGAGGACCAUCUCCUAAGGCUAAAUACUCUCUAGUGACCGAUAGUGAACCAGUACCGUGAGGGAAAGGUGAAAAGCACCCCGGAAGGGGAGUGAAAUAGAACCUGAAACCGUGUGCUUACAAGUAGUCAGAGCCCGUUAAUGGGUGAUGGCGUGCCUUUUGUAGAAUGAACCGGCGAGUUACGAUUUGAUGCAAGGUUAAGCAGUAAAUGUGGAGCCGUAGCGAAAGCGAGUCUGAAUAGGGCGUUUAGUAUUUGGUCGUAGACCCGAAACCAGGUGAUCUACCCUUGGUCAGGUUGAAGUUCAGGUAACACUGAAUGGAGGACCGAACCGACUUACGUUGAAAAGUGAGCGGAUGAACUGAGGGUAGCGGAGAAAUUCCAAUCGAACCUGGAGAUAGCUGGUUCUCUCCGAAAUAGCUUUAGGGCUAGCCUCAAGUGAUGAUUAUUGGAGGUAGAGCACUGUUUGGACGAGGGGCCCCUCUCGGGUUACCGAAUUCAGACAAACUCCGAAUGCCAAUUAAUUUAACUUGGGAGUCAGAACAUGGGUGAUAAGGUCCGUGUUCGAAAGGGAAACAGCCCAGACCACCAGCUAAGGUCCCAAAAUAUAUGUUAAGUGGAAAAGGAUGUGGCGUUGCCCAGACAACUAGGAUGUUGGCUUAGAAGCAGCCAUCAUUUAAAGAGUGCGUAAUAGCUCACUAGUCGAGUGACACUGCGCCGAAAAUGUACCGGGGCUAAACAUAUUACCGAAGCUGUGGAUUGUCCUUUGGACAAUGGUAGGAGAGCGUUCUAAGGGCGUUGAAGCAUGAUCGUAAGGACAUGUGGAGCGCUUAGAAGUGAGAAUGCCGGUGUGAGUAGCGAAAGACGGGUGAGAAUCCCGUCCACCGAUUGACUAAGGUUUCCAGAGGAAGGCUCGUCCGCUCUGGGUUAGUCGGGUCCUAAGCUGAGGCCGACAGGCGUAGGCGAUGGAUAACAGGUUGAUAUUCCUGUACCACCUAUAAUCGUUUUAAUCGAUGGGGGGACGCAGUAGGAUAGGCGAAGCGUGCGAUUGGAUUGCACGUCUAAGCAGUAAGGCUGAGUAUUAGGCAAAUCCGGUACUCGUUAAGGCUGAGCUGUGAUGGGGAGAAGACAUUGUGUCUUCGAGUCGUUGAUUUCACACUGCCGAGAAAAGCCUCUAGAUAGAAAAUAGGUGCCCGUACCGCAAACCGACACAGGUAGUCAAGAUGAGAAUUCUAAGGUGAGCGAGCGAACUCUCGUUAAGGAACUCGGCAAAAUGACCCCGUAACUUCGGGAGAAGGGGUGCUCUUUAGGGUUAACGCCCAGAAGAGCCGCAGUGAAUAGGCCCAAGCGACUGUUUAUCAAAAACACAGGUCUCUGCUAAACCGUAAGGUGAUGUAUAGGGGCUGACGCCUGCCCGGUGCUGGAAGGUUAAGAGGAGUGGUUAGCUUCUGCGAAGCUACGAAUCGAAGCCCCAGUAAACGGCGGCCGUAACUAUAACGGUCCUAAGGUAGCGAAAUUCCUUGUCGGGUAAGUUCCGACCCGCACGAAAGGCGUAACGAUUUGGGCACUGUCUCAACGAGAGACUCGGUGAAAUCAUAGUACCUGUGAAGAUGCAGGUUACCCGCGACAGGACGGAAAGACCCCGUGGAGCUUUACUGUAGCCUGAUAUUGAAAUUCGGCACAGCUUGUACAGGAUAGGUAGGAGCCUUUGAAACGUGAGCGCUAGCUUACGUGGAGGCGCUGGUGGGAUACUACCCUAGCUGUGUUGGCUUUCUAACCCGCACCACUUAUCGUGGUGGGAGACAGUGUCAGGCGGGCAGUUUGACUGGGGCGGUCGCCUCCUAAAAGGUAACGGAGGCGCUCAAAGGUUCCCUCAGAAUGGUUGGAAAUCAUUCAUAGAGUGUAAAGGCAUAAGGGAGCUUGACUGCGAGACCUACAAGUCGAGCAGGGUCGAAAGACGGACUUAGUGAUCCGGUGGUUCCGCAUGGAAGGGCCAUCGCUCAACGGAUAAAAGCUACCCCGGGGAUAACAGGCUUAUCUCCCCCAAGAGUUCACAUCGACGGGGAGGUUUGGCACCUCGAUGUCGGCUCAUCGCAUCCUGGGGCUGUAGUCGGUCCCAAGGGUUGGGCUGUUCGCCCAUUAAAGCGGUACGCGAGCUGGGUUCAGAACGUCGUGAGACAGUUCGGUCCCUAUCCGUCGUGGGCGUAGGAAAUUUGAGAGGAGCUGUCCUUAGUACGAGAGGACCGGGAUGGACAUACCUCUGGUGUACCAGUUGUCGUGCCAACGGCAUAGCUGGGUAGCUAUGUGUGGACGGGAUAAGUGCUGAAAGCAUCUAAGCAUGAAGCCCCCCUCAAGAUGAGAUUUCCCAACUUCGGUUAUAAGAUCCCUCAAAGAUGAUGAGGUUAAUAGGUUCGAGGUGGAAGCAUGGUGACAUGUGGAGCUGACGAAUACUAAUCGAUCGAAGACUUAAUCAA